RNAcentral lists this long non-coding RNA (538 nucleotides) under Nicotiana benthamiana. Its description in RNAcentral is "long non-coding RNA (NBEN_LNC018143)". The record is from RNAcentral. Lineage: Eukaryota; Viridiplantae; Streptophyta; Magnoliopsida; Solanales; Solanaceae.
UUGGCAAGGUAUGAUCACUUGCAAUUGUUUCAGAAACUGAAGAAAGACCUCAUUCACUCCAUAACGGUUAUUUACCUGUUAAACUAAACCUAAUCUAUGAAAGAAAGAGAAAACAAAUUAUGAAUCAAUGCAUUGCAGCAUGAAAUUAGUGCAUCCAGAAAACAGAAUGGAAUCCAAUCAUAACAAGAUGAUAAACUGAAAAAAGAAUGCAAAAGAAAAAAAAAAAAAAAAAAAAAGAAGAAUGAACAAACUAACCACAUCAAGCUUUUCUGACAACUCAUAAUCAUAUGUAGAUUCAAGAUGGAACUCCUGAGUGGAACAGGAUUGCCAAUGAGGCUGCAAGAACAAUACCUGGACGCGAAAAUGGAGGAAGUUGUGACAUCAAAAAUCUCAGCAGAGGUUCAAAAAUAUACCUUCCAGUAUUUGUAGAAGGAGCAAACCUCAGUACUGGUGAUAUGCAUUUUUCUCAGGGCGACGGUGAAGUAGCAUUUUGUGGGGCAAUAGAGAUGAGUGGCUUCCUAGAGCUCAAGUAUGUUCC